Molecule: ribosomal RNA, 494 nt
Filed under: uncultured bacterium
Lineage: Bacteria
Description: partial 16S ribosomal RNA
Rfam family: Bacterial small subunit ribosomal RNA
Source: RNAcentral
GACGAACGCUGGCGGCGUGCUUAACACAUGCAAGUCGAACGGUGAAGCGCCUUCCUUUUUGGUGGGUGUGGAUGAGUGGCGAACGGGUGAGUAACACGUGAGUAACCUGCCCCCUUCUUCUGGAUAACCGCAUGAAAGUGUGGCUAAUACGGGAUAUUCUGGGUCUGUCGCAUGAUGGGUCUGGGAAAGAUAUUGUUUCGGUGGGGGAUGGGCUCGCGGCCUAUCAGCUUGUUGGUGGGGUGAUGGCCUACCAAGGCGGUGACGGGUAGCCGGCCUGAGAGGGUGGACGGUCACACUGGGACUGAGACACGGCCCAGACUCGUACGGGAGGCAGCAGUGGGGAAUAUUGCACAAUGGGCGCGAGCCUGAUGCAGCGACGCCGCGUGAGGGAUGGAGGCCUUCGGGUUGUGAACCUCUUUCGCCAGUGAAGCAGGCCUGCCUCGUUUGUGGGUGGGUUGACGGUAGCUGGAUAAGAAGCGCCGGCUAACUACGUG